Acanthosepion pharaonis is the source of this 114-nucleotide non-coding RNA. The record is from the annotation of a GenBank genome assembly. NCBI's taxonomy places the organism in Eukaryota, Metazoa, Mollusca, Cephalopoda, Sepiida, Sepiidae.
UUACGGCCAUAUCACGCCGAAACAGCGGUUCCGGUACGAUCACCGAAGUUACGCAACGUCGAGCUUGGUCAGUACCUAGACGGGUGACCCCUUGGGAAUAACAAGUACUGUAAG